CAUGCCUACGGGGGGCAGCAGUAGGGAAUCUUCCACAAUGGACGAAAGUCUGAUGGAGCAACGCCGCGUGAGUGAAGAAGGGUUUCGGCUCGUAAAGCUUUUUUGGUAGGGGAAAAAGAUAGAGGGAGUAACUGGCCUUUAUUUGACGGUAAUUACUUAGAAAGUCACGGCUAACUACGUGCCAGCAGCCGCGGUAAUACGUAGGUGGCAAGCGUUUUCCGGGUUUUUUGGGGGUAAAGCGAGUGGAGGCGGAUU
This 255-nucleotide ribosomal RNA is filed under the name uncultured bacterium. RNAcentral describes it as "partial 16S ribosomal RNA". It matches the Rfam family "Bacterial small subunit ribosomal RNA", at positions 334 to 581 of the family's 1533-position model. The record is from RNAcentral.